RNAcentral lists this ribosomal RNA (590 nucleotides) under Hyphydrus sp. 3 IR-2007. Its description in RNAcentral is "SSU rRNA". It matches the Rfam family "Eukaryotic small subunit ribosomal RNA", at positions 41 to 601 of the family's 1831-position model. The record is from RNAcentral. Lineage: Eukaryota; Metazoa; Arthropoda; Insecta; Coleoptera; Dytiscidae.
AGAUUAAGCCAUGCAUGUCUCAGUACAAGCCGCAUUAAGGUGAAACCGCGAAAGGCUCAUUAAAUCAGUUAUGGUUCCUUAGAUCGUACCCACACUUACUUGGAUAACUGUGGUAAUUCUAGAGCUAAUACAUGCAAACAGAGCUCCGACCGGAGACGGGAGGAGUGCUUUUAUUAGAUCAAAACCAAUCGGCGGCGGGCGCGUCCGCGCGUCCGUUCGCCGCUCUGCCUGGUGACUCUGAAUAACUUACGGCUGAUCGCACGGUCUCGCACCGGCGACGCAUCUUUCAAAUGUCUGCCUUAUCAACUGUCGAUGGUAGGUUCUGCGCCUACCAUGGUCGUAACGGGUAACGGGGAAUCAGGGUUCGAUUCCGGAGAGGGAGCCUGAGAAACGGCUACCACAUCCAAGGAAGGCAGCAGGCGCGCAAAUUACCCACUCCCGGCACGGGGAGGUAGUGACGAAAAAUAACGAUACGGGACUCAUCCGAGGCCCCGUAAUCGGAAUGAGUACACUUUAAAUCCUUUAACGAGGAUCAAUUGGAGGGCAAGUCUGGUGCCAGCAGCCGCGGUAAUUCCAGUUCCAAUAGCGUA